CCUCCGUAGGUGAACCUGCGGAGGGAUCAUUACCGAGUUUACAACUCCCAAACCCCUGUGAACAUACCUAUAACGUUGCCUCGGCGGAUCAGCCCGCGCCCCGUAAAAAGGGACGGCCCGCCCGAGGACCCCUAAACUCUGUUUUUAGUGGAACUUCUGAGUAAAACAAACAAAUAAAUCAAAACUUUCAACAACGGAUCUCUUGGUUCUGGCAUCGAUGAAGAACGCAGCAAAAUGCGAUAAGUAAUGUGAAUUGCAGAAUUCAGUGAAUCAUCGAAUCUUUGAACGCACAUUGCGCCCGCCAGUAUUCUGGCGGGCAUGCCUGUUCGAGCGUCAUUUCAACCCUCAAGCUCAGCUUGGUGUUGGGACUCGCGGUAACCCGCGUUCCCCAAAUCGAUUGGCGGUCACGUCGAGCUUCCAUAGCGUAGUAAUCAUACACCUCGUUACUGGUAAUCGUCGCGGCCACGCCGUAAAACCCCAACUUCUGAAUGUUGACCUCGGAUCAGGUAGGAAUACCCGCUGAACUUAAGCAUAUCAAUAAGCGGAGGAA
This 550-nucleotide ribosomal RNA is filed under the name Fusarium equiseti. RNAcentral describes it as "eukaryotic LSU rRNA". The stretch from base 183 to 336 matches the Rfam family "5.8S ribosomal RNA". The record is from RNAcentral. Lineage: Eukaryota; Fungi; Ascomycota; Sordariomycetes; Hypocreales; Nectriaceae.